UGCAAGUCGAACGAUGAACCACUUCGGUGGGGAUUAGUGGCGAACGGGUGAGUAACACGUGGGCAAUCUGCCCUGCACUCUGGGACAAGCCCUGGAAACGGGGUCUAAUACCGGAUACUGAUUGUCUUGGGCAUCCUUGAUGAUCGAAAGCUCCGGCGGUGCAGGAUGAGCCCGCGGCCUAUCAGCUUGUUGGUGAGGUAACGGCUCACCAAGGCGACGACGGGUAGCCGGCCUGAGAGGGCGACCGGCCACACUGGGACUGAGACACGGCCCAGACUCCUACGGGAGGCAGCAGUGGGGAAUAUUGCACAAUGGGCGCAAGCCUGAUGCAGCGACGCCGCGUGAGGGAUGACGGCCUUCGGGUUGUAAACCUCUUUCAGCAGGGAAGAAGCGAAAGUGACGGUACCUGCAGAAGAAGCGCCGGCUAACUACGUGCCAGCAGCCGCGGUAAUACGUAGGGCGCAAGCGUUGUCCGGAAUUAUUGGGCGUAAAGAGCUCGUAGGCGGCUUGUCGCGUCGGUUGUGAAAGCCCGGGGCUUAACCCCGGGUCUGCAGUCGAUACGGGCAGGCUAGAGUUCGGUAGGGGAGAUCGGAAUUCCUGG
Molecule: ribosomal RNA, 601 nt
Filed under: Streptomyces spinoverrucosus
Lineage: Bacteria; Bacillati; Actinomycetota; Actinomycetes; Kitasatosporales; Streptomycetaceae
Description: bacterial SSU rRNA
Rfam family: Bacterial small subunit ribosomal RNA
Source: RNAcentral